Molecule: ribosomal RNA, 253 nt
Filed under: uncultured bacterium
Lineage: Bacteria
Description: partial 16S ribosomal RNA
Rfam family: Bacterial small subunit ribosomal RNA
Source: RNAcentral
UACGUAGGGGGCUAGCGUUGUCCGGAAUUAUUGGGCGUAAAGAGCGUGUAGGCGGCCAGGUAGGUCUGCUGUGAAAACUCGAGGCUCAACCUCGAGAUGUCGGCGGAAACCAUCUGGCUAGAGUCCGGAAGAGGAGAGUGGAAUUCCUGGUGUAGCGGUGAAAUGCGCAGAUAUCAGGAAGAACACCCGUGGCGAAGGCGGCACUCUGGGACGGUACUGACGCUGAGACGCGAAAGCGUGGGGAGCGAACAGG